UAGUUUAUCAGUGAAAUGUUGGAGAAUGUGAUGCAUGUUGGGAACUGUAGGUUAUCAGUGUAAAUGCUAUGUGGAGUUAUGUGUAGUGAAUCAGUGCUCACGAAC
This is a long non-coding RNA of Alosa sapidissima (American shad), 105 nucleotides long. RefSeq lists it as uncharacterized. The transcript has 3 exons. The record is from RefSeq and is a predicted model, not a curated record. NCBI's taxonomy places the organism in Eukaryota, Metazoa, Chordata, Actinopteri, Clupeiformes, Clupeidae.